GUACAACUAAAUGACAUGUUAUGUGAAGUAGGAUAUUAGUCAUGAUUCUUGUUGGGUUACUAUUUUACGAAAAUAGACACAUAAAGUAAAAAUGACAAAGUUUCAAAAAAUCGACUAAUCUUAAGAAAAAUCGAUUUUCCAAAUUAACAGAGUCACCACUUGAAUUUUUUAGUAAAACCAAGAAAGCUUACAAUUAUUUUUCAAAACAUUUAAAACAAAUGAAAAUUAGUUGAAAAGGGUUCGAAGUUCAAAUUUACACUCCAAGAAGGUGUUAGGCCUUUGCAAUGCCCGCUAACUCGCGGUUGACCGACUAUUUCACUAAAAAAGACUUUCACUUGAAUAUAUAAACUUUUCCAACUAAAGUUCAUUUAUCAUUUGCUACUUAAAAUUAUUUUUUUCUAAUUAAUUAAUUUAGUGAAAAGAAGAGAUUAUUUUAAAAGGGAGUGACUAAAGGUGGUUGAUUAGAAUAAAAAUAAGAUAAAGGAUAAGUGACUUGUAUAAAAAUAAUUUUUUAUGUUAUUUUCUUUUCAUUUAAUUAUCCUUUACAUUAAUUAUCUCUUUCAGAGGAAAAUAGCUAAGGGGAUGACCUAAAGAGAUGAACUUAAGGGUUAACAAAGAAGAAGUAGAAUAAAAACCAAGUAAAAAUAUAUGUAUAAAUAAAUUUUGAGUAUUUGUAUAUAAAUAUAAAUAAAAUGGCUAUAGUUUAGAAUUAAUUAAAUUGAAACCAAAAUAUUAGUCAAACAUGAAUAAAUAAAGAGAGGGAGAGGGGAUAGAAAAUUUAAUUUCGGCUAAUCAGCCCUAAUCCACAAAUCUGAUGGGCCCAACCUCUUCCCUAUCCUAUGUCUAUGUGGGUCCUAGGCCAUUUUUCCUUUGAACCUGCACUUAAACAUUGGGCUUGUUUGCCUUAAAAAGAUAUGUAUACAAUUUGUGUAUACUGCUGUAUACAUGGCAUAUCCGACCCAUUUGGACCUUUCAAGGCUUGCAUUUUUUGAAACGUUAUCCACUGUACUUUUGACCUGAGUAUUCACAUUUUCUGUACCCAUAUAAUGUAUAUUCUGACUGUAUACCAGUGUAUACAGUUGGUAUAACGAAUGUAUUUGCCUUUUUGGUGUUGGAAAGCUUAAUUUCCAGCAUUUUCUUUUAUUGUUCUCAACCUGUACACCAUUUAGAGGGGCUGGCCGACUCGGAGAGGAUAAUUUGAGCAUUUAUGGCUCAACAAGGUAGUGCAAGAAAUGGAGUAAAUUCUGUGACGAAUUGGAAGGGGUUUCACAUGCAAUAAAAUAGAAAUGAAUUAGCCAUGAAUGAUAAAAUAAGGCACAUCUUAAACACAACAUAAUUUAUAAGUAAAAAAAACCUAUUUUAAGAGAUUCAAGUCAGGCCAAAAUAUAUAACUUCAAGAAAAAAUCAAAAGAAUCCAACUAUCACUUACAAAUGUCAUGAACAAAAACAUGACACCACAGUAACAUCCGUUAUGCAAUGUCUGCACUUGUGAAUAUAUUAGGCCCCUAAGCGUACGUAGUCAUUGAAUAACAACCUAACUCAAGCAAUGUCAAGAAAGCAUGCUGCAUAUUUGUCUAAAUAAAAUGAUUCAUGCACAAAAGCGAAAACAACUCAAUAUGAUGAAUCUUACGGUAUUAAGUUCAAUCUCUCUAAGAAAAAAAAACAACACAACAAAUUACCUCCAUAAAGCCAUCUCAUUCAUAAAUGUCAUGGAAAACAAGCACUAACACACUGAUAACUACUGGAUCAAUAAGGGCACUUGACCUUUAAUGGAAAGCGGCAAAUCUUAUGAAAACAGGAACAUAACAAUAAGCUAUUCAGCCGCAGGAUUCAAAGUAAGAUGGGCAAAGAUCUUCAGAUUAAAAUAAAUAACAAUAAAACUAGAUUCCGGACCUCAAAACUAAAGAAAGAUUCACAACUGACAUCAUAAGAUUAGCGAUUAAACUAAAGAAUAUAAGUAAGAGCAAUUUGGAAUUACAUAGGGUCGACCAAACUUCCAACUACAUGAACAUAAGCAAAAAUAUAAUACCCAAAACAGAGAAAGAAGCCACUAAUUUCAACUAAGAGCAAAUCAAAAUUAUUCCAAACUUUCGAUAUUUACAAAUCUUGCAACCUUCAUAUAAUUACGACCUACAUCUUGAGAAGUAAAUGAUGGAAGAAGAAGUGUAUUUACCUUUCUAAAUGCAGCGAUUCAGGGAUAGUACGACCAGGGAUGAGCUUCUUUUGACCACACGAACACAUACACUAACACAAGCACGACACACAAACAAAACGAUGGAUGGAACCUUUACUCCAGGCGAGUUUAUGUAGAGAGAAUUAGAGGAAAAGUGCAAGGAUAGAAUUGAUACUCUUUUAUGCUCUCUCCAAAGGUAUGUAUUAUAUCUAUUUUAAGCUAUUGUUUUAGUAGGAUGAAGAUUAGUCUUUGGUUUUCCUUGCCUCACUCCUUGAAAAAAAAAUUCUGCCCCUUUUGAUGAACAGGAAGCUAUGUUAUAUAGGAGGAGAAUUAGGUUGAGACUGGGGGGAAAGGGAGACGCAAAACUCGGAAUCUUCAACUAGUUUUAAUUAAAAAAUCUUUCACUAUUUUUGCUAAACACCCUUUUCUGCAAAAUUAAAAAUCAUUCCCAAAAUAGGAAGGGGGACGGAUGGCUGGGAUUCAUCAGCUCGUCCUUGAGUGCUACGUGGCUCUUAGCCACGAGGGAAAGGACGAGUUUGCAGAAGAUUAUCACAGGAAAAGCAAGCUGAAAUCGUUAAAAGGCUGCCCCAAAUUGUACCUCCCUAAAGAAGGAGACAUUGGAAGUCACCCUCCCUUUAUUUGACGUCGCGUGGCGGUGAUGAAUCACAUGUAGGGGUUUUUUUCGUUGAUCACUCGUCGCUGCAUAGGAGGCGCCCUGAAGAUGUCAUUAACGUUGCUCUUUGGAAUCGUCUGGUUUUGGAUCGCUUUGAGGAGAAAAGGGAAAGUGCCGGGUCAUUUUGUGAAGGGAGAAAAAGGAUUGGGCCGGAUGGGACUAUUUUUGAAGUUGGGUUGCUGUAAUGUUAGGCUGCGAAUAGUAUUGGGCUUGUCUGAAAAACUUAAUUGAAUCUUCGCCCAAUAUUUGUCUCAAAAUUGAGUUAAGUGUUAUGGCCAAUACCCAAAUAAAAUGAAUUAAUAUAAAUUAAUUAACGAGCUUCUUGAUCAUUACGAAAUAAAUUACUUAAAUUUAUUACAAGCUAAAUAAAUAAAAAUUAUAGACUGUUAUGUAAGUAGAC
This 3246-nucleotide long non-coding RNA is filed under the name Solanum lycopersicum (tomato). RNAcentral's name for it is "long non-coding RNA (SLYC_LNC000518)". Lineage: Eukaryota; Viridiplantae; Streptophyta; Magnoliopsida; Solanales; Solanaceae. The record is from RNAcentral.